AGAGUUUGAUCAUGGCUCAGAAUCAACGCUGGCGGCGUGCCUAACACAUGCAAGUCGAACGCGAAAGUGGAGCAAUCCAUGAGUAGAGUGGCAAACGGGUGAGUAACGCGUGGGUGACCUGCCUUCGAGUGGGGGAUAACGCUCCGAAAGGGACGCUAAUACCGCAUAACACUUACGAGUCAAAGCAGCAAUGCGCUUGGAGAGGAGGUCGCGGCCGAUUAGCUAGUUGGCGGGGUAAUGGCCCACCAAGGCGAUGAUCGGUAUCCGGCCUGAGAGGGCGCACGGACACACUGGAACUGAAACACGGUCCAGACUCCUACGGGAGGCAGCAGUGGGGAAUUUUGCGCAAUGGGGGAAACCCUGACGCAGCAACGCCGCGUGGAGGAUGAAAUAUCUUGGUAUGUAAACUCCUUUCGAUGGGGAAGAUUAUGACGGUACCCAUAGAAGAAGCCCCGGCUAACUUCGUGCCAGCAGCCGCGGUAAUACGAGGGGGGCAAGCGUUGUUCGGAUUUAUUGGGCGUAAAGGGUGCGUAGGCGGUUUGGCAAGUCUUGUGUGAAAUCUAUGGGCUCAACCCAUAGUCUGCAUAAGAAACUGCCGGGCUUGAGUAUGGGAGAGGUGAGUGGAAUUUCCGGUGUAGCGGUGAAAUGCGUAGAUAUCGGAAGGAACACCUGUGGCGAAAGCGGCUCACUGGACCAUAACUGACGCUGAGGCACGAAAGCUAGGGGAGCAAACAGGAUUAGAUACCCUAGUAGUCC
Molecule: ribosomal RNA, 756 nt
Filed under: uncultured bacterium
Lineage: Bacteria
Description: bacterial SSU rRNA
Rfam family: Bacterial small subunit ribosomal RNA
Source: RNAcentral